RNAcentral lists this ribosomal RNA (34 nucleotides) under Ragnhildiana ampelopsidis. RNAcentral's name for it is "partial 18S ribosomal RNA". Lineage: Eukaryota; Fungi; Ascomycota; Dothideomycetes; Mycosphaerellales; Mycosphaerellaceae. The record is from RNAcentral.
UCCGUAGGUGAACCUCGGAGGGAUCAUUACUGAG